AAAGUAGUGCCGGAGUAGUUCGCAUUCACCGUUCACCCACUCGUUGAAGCUCUGAAGCUAGCCAUCUAAUUAUGAUUAUCUUUUUCCCCUCUUGUCAAUUCCUGAACACAGAAAAAAGAUUGACAAUUCUUAUGGAUUCUGGCAGCAAAAAUAUUAGAAGGGCAUGGAUUAUAGGAAGUCGUGGGGGUGAAGACAGAAUUGAUGUAGGAUAUAAUAUUUUAGUUUUUUAUAGAGUAUUAGUAGUAAAUUCUAAGUGGUCUCAUGCUUAUUUUAAUAUGACUAUGCUUAAUUUAGUGUGAGAUGUAUGAAUAUUAGUACUUUUGGAUCAUUAUAAAUUUAUUUUAUUUAUAGAUAAUUUUUAUUAU
Non-coding RNA from Arachis ipaensis, 365 nucleotides. The record is from RefSeq and is a predicted model, not a curated record. Lineage: Eukaryota; Viridiplantae; Streptophyta; Magnoliopsida; Fabales; Fabaceae.